Molecule: ribosomal RNA, 512 nt
Filed under: uncultured bacterium
Lineage: Bacteria
Description: partial 16S ribosomal RNA
Rfam family: Bacterial small subunit ribosomal RNA
Source: RNAcentral
GAUGAACGCUGGCGGCGUGCCUAAUACAUGCAAGUCGAACGAAACUUCUUUAUCACCGAGUGCUUGCACUCACCGAUAAAGAGUUGAGUGGCGAACGGGUGAGUAACACGUGGGCAACCUGCCCAAAAGAGGGGGAUAACACUUGGAAACAGGUGCUAAUACCGCAUAACCAUAGUUACCGCAUGGUAACUAUGUAAAAGGUGGCUAUACUACCGCUUUUGGAUGGGCCCGCGGCGCAUUAGCUAGUUGGUAGGGUAAAGGCUUACCAAGGCAAUGAUGCGUAGCCGAAGUGAGAGGUUGAUCGGCCAAACUGGGACUGAGACACGGUCCAAACUCCUACGGGAGGCAGCAGUAGGGAAUUUUCCACAAUGGGCGAAAGCCUGAAGGAGCAACGCCGCGUGGGUGAAGAAGGUCUUCGGAUCGUAAAACCCUGUUGUUAGAGAAGAAAGUGCGUGAGAGUAACUGUUCACGUUUCGACGGUAUCUAACCAGAAAGCCACUGCUAACUACGUG